AAGACCUUGCGCUUUUGGAGCGGCCGAUGUCUGAUUAGCUAGUUGGUGGGGUAAUGGCCUACCAAAGCUUCGAUCAGUAGCUGGUCUGAGAGGACGGCCAGCCACACUGGGACUGAGACACGGCCCAGACUCCUACGGGAGGCAGCAGUGGGGAAUUUUGGACAAUGGGCGCAAGCCUGAUCCAGCCAUGCCGCGUGAGUGAAGAAGGCCUUCGGGUUGUAAAGCUCUUUCAGCCGGGAAGAAAAGGUUGCGAUUAAUAAACGCAAUUGAUGACGGUACCGGAAGAAGAGGCACCGGCUAACUACGUGCCAGCAGCCGCGGUAAUACGUAGGGUGCGAGCGUUAAUCGGAAUUACUGGGCGUAAAGGGUGCGCAGGCGGUUUUGUAAGUCAGAUGUGAAAUCCCCGGGCUUAACCUGGGAACU
Molecule: ribosomal RNA, 423 nt
Filed under: uncultured bacterium
Lineage: Bacteria
Description: bacterial SSU rRNA
Rfam family: Bacterial small subunit ribosomal RNA
Source: RNAcentral